GACGAACGCUGGCGGCGUGCUUAACACAUGCAAGUCGAACGGAAAGGCCCUGCUUUUGUGGGGUGCUCGAGUGGCGAACGGGUGAGUAACACGUGAGUAACCUGCCCUUGACUUUGGGAUAACUUCAGGAAACUGGGGCUAAUACCGGAUAGGAGCUCCUGCUGCAUGGUGGGGGUUGGAAAGUUUCGGCGGUUGGGGGUGGACUCGCGGCUUAUCAGCUUGUUGGUGGGGUAGUGGCUUACCAAGGCUUUGACGGGUAGCCGGCCUGAGAGGGUGACCGGCCACAUUGGGACUGAGAUACGGCCCAGACCCCUACGGGAGGCAGCAGUGGGGAAUAUUGCACAAUGGGCGGAAGCCUGAUGCAGCAACGCCGCGUGCGGGAUGACGGCCUUCGGGUUGUAAACCGCUUUCGCCUGUGACGAAGCGUGAGUGACGGUAAUGGGUAAAGAAGCACCGGCUAACUACGUG
Molecule: ribosomal RNA, 468 nt
Filed under: uncultured bacterium
Lineage: Bacteria
Description: partial 16S ribosomal RNA
Rfam family: Bacterial small subunit ribosomal RNA
Source: RNAcentral